Molecule: ribosomal RNA, 25 nt
Filed under: Goodenia psammophila
Lineage: Eukaryota; Viridiplantae; Streptophyta; Magnoliopsida; Asterales; Goodeniaceae
Description: partial 25S large subunit ribosomal RNA
Source: RNAcentral
GCGACCCCAGGGUCAGGCGGGACUA